GCACAACGCGAAGAACCUUACCAAGGCUUAAAUGUAGAUUGACCGAUUUGGAAACAGAUCUUUCGCAAGACAAUUUACAAGGUGCUGCAUGGUUGUCGUCAGCUCGUGCCGUGAGGUGUCAGGUUAAGUCCUAUAACGAGCGCAACCCCCUGUUGUUAGUUGCCAUCGAGUCAAGUCGGGAACUCUAACAAGACUGCCAGUGCAAACUGUGAGGAAGGUGGGGAUGACGUCAAAUCAUCACGGCCCUUACGCCUUGGGCUACACACGUGCUACAAUGGACGGUACAGAGAGCAGCCACUACGUGAGUAGGAGCGAAUCUAUAAAACCGUUCUCAGUUCGGAUCGGAGUCUGCAACUCGGCUCCGUGAAGCUGGAAUCGCUAGUAAUCGGAUAUCAGCCAUGAUCCGGUGAAUACGUUCCCGGGUCUUGUACACACCG
This 437-nucleotide ribosomal RNA is filed under the name uncultured bacterium. RNAcentral's name for it is "bacterial SSU rRNA". It matches the Rfam family "Bacterial small subunit ribosomal RNA", at positions 954 to 1392 of the family's 1533-position model. The record is from RNAcentral.